RNAcentral lists this ribosomal RNA (446 nucleotides) under uncultured bacterium. RNAcentral's name for it is "partial 16S ribosomal RNA". It matches the Rfam family "Bacterial small subunit ribosomal RNA", at positions 338 to 795 of the family's 1533-position model. The record is from RNAcentral.
CCUACGGGUGGCAGCAGUCGAGAAUCAUUCACAAUGGGGGAAACCCUGAUGGUGCGACGCCGCGUGGGGGAAUGAAGGUCUUCGGAUUGUAAACCCCUGUCAUGUGGGAGCAAAUUAAAAAGAUCGUACCACAAGAGGAAGAGACUGCUAACUCUGUGCCAGCAGCCGCGGUAAUACAGAGGUCUCAAGCGUUGUUCGGAAUCACUGGGCGUAAAGCGUGCGUAGGCUGUUUCGUAAGUCUUGUGUGAAAGGCGCGGGCUCAACCCGCGGACGGCACAUGAUACUGCGAGACUAGAGUAAGGGAGGGGGAACCGGAAUUCGCGGUGUAGCAGUGAAAUGCGUAGAUAUCGAGAGGAACACUCGUGGCGAAGGCGGGUUCCUGGACAGUAACUGACGCUGAGGCACGAAGGCCAGGGGAGCGAAAGGGAUUAGAUACCCGUGUAGUC